UCACCGUGAGGCCCAGUAGAUCUCAACAUUUCGUAGAAGGAUCACUGACUCUGAGCUGCGUGGACGACGGCGGUUCUGAAAAAUGGAUCGUGUGGAGAAACACAACUACAGGAGUAGUGUCACAAUGUGGAAACAAAUGGGGAAGACAAAUUAACUCCGAUUGUAUCAAUAGUAUGGCACUUCUUUUGGACAGCGGAUUUUACUGGUGUGAGUCCAGCGGGGGAGCAGCCAGCAGCAGCAUCCAGCUCACUGUCACUGGUGGAUCAGUGAUCCUGCAGAGUCCUGUCCUCCCUGUGAUGGAGGGAGAUAACGUCACUCUGAGCUGUCUAACAAAGAACGAUGUCACCGCCCCUGCUACUUUCUACAAAGACGGCUCCCUCAUGAGCACUGAGCCUGCAGAUCAGACGACCCUUCACCAGGUUUCCAGGUCUGAUGGAGGCCUCUAUCGCUGUAACGUCAGGGGUCACGGAGACUCUCCAGCCAGCCGGCUCUACAUUACAGAUAAACCAAGACCCACAGCCCUGUCUACCUCUGCAACCUCUCCAAGCCUCGUGACUCCCCAACCCGUCUCAUCAUCACUUCCGAUCAGAC
Molecule: long non-coding RNA, 591 nt
Organism: Fundulus heteroclitus (mummichog)
Lineage: Eukaryota; Metazoa; Chordata; Actinopteri; Cyprinodontiformes; Fundulidae
Exons: 3
Source: RefSeq, a predicted model, not a curated record